AUAUCAGUCAUGCAUAGCAUAUCAAUAAGCGGAGGAAAAGAAACUAACAAGGAUUCCCUUAGUAACGGCGAGUGAAGCGGGAAGAGCUCAAAUUUGAAAUCAUCAAGGUUUUACCUUGACGAAUUGUAGUUUAAAGAAGUGUUUUCUGUUGAAGUUUUGGUAAAAGUUCUUUGGAAUAGGACAUCAUAGAGGGUGAGAAUCCCGUAUUUGACCAUUACUUUCAGCUUUGUGAUACACUUUCAAAGAGUCGGAUUGUUUGGGAAUGCAGUCCAAAAUGGGUGGUAAAUUUCAUCUAAAGCUAAAUAUUGGCGAGAGACCGAUAGCGAACAAGUACCGUGAGGGAAAGAUGAAAAGAACUUUGAAAAGAGAGUUAAACAGUACGUGAAAUUGUCAAAAGGGAAGCGUUUGACACCAGUGUUGUUUUCUCGAAAAUCAAUUAAAAAGAGUUGGAUUUUGUGUUGUAUUGACUUUAUCAGCUUUCUUCACUCUUUUCCAGCUUUUUUUAAUGCACUUUUCGUUUAACAAGUCAACAUCAGUUUCUUUUGUUGUAAAAAGGUCAUUGGAAGGUGGCUUUCUCUUCGGAGAAAGUGUUUAUAGCCUUUGACUCAUGCAAUCGGAGAGACUGAGGUCUGCAGCGUAGAUCCUUCGGGGUUAGAUACAUUUGUGCUAAGUUAUAGCUUUUCAUAGACAACUUGUUGACUAUGUUUAGUCUUGUAGCUUACUCGCUUAUGCUAUUUUACCUACGCUUAGGAUGUUGAACUCUAUCACACACAG
RNAcentral lists this ribosomal RNA (774 nucleotides) under uncultured Neocallimastigales. RNAcentral's name for it is "partial large subunit ribosomal RNA". It matches the Rfam family "Eukaryotic large subunit ribosomal RNA", at positions 22 to 621 of the family's 3401-position model. The record is from RNAcentral. Lineage: Eukaryota; Fungi; Neocallimastigomycota; Neocallimastigomycetes; Neocallimastigales.